ACUACCAAGGAAUCUUGUUAAAAUGCAGAAUCUUAUUCAGAAGCACUGGAACAUGGCUCAGGAGUCUGUGUUUUUAAUAAGUUUCCAGGUGAUGCUAA
Molecule: microRNA precursor, 98 nt
Filed under: Otolemur garnettii (small-eared galago)
Lineage: Eukaryota; Metazoa; Chordata; Mammalia; Primates; Galagidae
Description: mir-544 microRNA precursor family
Rfam family: mir-544 microRNA precursor family
Source: Rfam by way of RNAcentral